Molecule: ribosomal RNA, 279 nt
Filed under: uncultured bacterium
Lineage: Bacteria
Description: partial 16S ribosomal RNA
Rfam family: Bacterial small subunit ribosomal RNA
Source: RNAcentral
UGCCAGCCGCCGCGGUAAUACGGAGGAUCCGAGCGUUAUCCGGAUUUAUUGGGUUUAAAGGGUGCGUAGGUGGAAGUAUAAGUCAGUCGUGAAAGUUUACGGCUCAACCGUGAAAUUGCAAUUGAAACUGUAUUUCUUGAGUGUACAUGAGGUAGGCGGAAUUCGUGGUGUAGCGGUGAAAUGCUUAGAUAUCACGAAGAACUCCAAUUGCGAAGGCAGCUUACUAAGGUACAACUGACACUGAGGCACGAAAGUGUGGGUAUCAAACAGGAUUAGAUA